Molecule: long non-coding RNA, 4322 nt
Filed under: Sus scrofa (pig)
Lineage: Eukaryota; Metazoa; Chordata; Mammalia; Artiodactyla; Suidae
Description: lncRNA (ENSSSCG00040048172.1)
Source: RNAcentral
UUUUUUUUUUUUUUUUUUGGUCCAUGAAAUAUCCAACCAGUGUAUCAUUAUUGUAAAAAAGAAUGAGAAUACACUGAAAAUUAAUGAAUUUCAUUAAACUAACAAUGAACCCUCAUCAUGUACUCUGUUGUGUUUUUCCAUAUCAAUCUUUAACAGAAAGAAGAUAGUGUUUCUAAAACCUCCUCACGGUAUACCCUCAUUUAUUUUAUAUGUUAAAAUAUAUAUUCAAAAUAAUGUUAAUCAUAUAAAUAUAGGUGAAAAUGUCUAAAAUUAGCAUUUUGAAUUGAUGAAAUUAUGAAUCUCUUGCCUAUUAGGUUUAGAUAAAAAAGCAAUUAUCCUCCAAUUAUCUCAUGUCAGGGUCUAAGUAUCCAUAUUCCUCAGUAUCAUUCUCAAGUUUCUAGUCCAUAAAUCUUUUAAAUUUUGCUUGAAAUCAGUAUCCACUGCUAGACCUUGGCAGCCCAGAGGUGGAAACUGUCUUAAAGAUACGUUUUCCUUGGCCAGCACACCCUUCUUCAUCACCUCAUCUUAUCUACAUGCCUCAGACAGAUGGAUACUCUGCGGUUCCCUCUUCCUCAAUUACCUACUACUAUCUUACUCCAGGAUACUUUGGGCAGUUAGAAGGGAAGAGCUUAAUGCUGACAAUAAAGACUUCUUGGCUUUAUAGCCUUGCUCCAGCACUUGUUAGCUGUUUCACUUUUCAGUGCUUCAGUUUCUCCAUCUAUAAAAUUAAUAGUCCUGGCUUCAAUUUCAUGUAGCAUUGUUUAAAAAUACCUCAAACCUUAUCUGGCAUAUAAAAAUGCUCAAGAAAUGUUAGCCAUUAUUGUUGUCUGCUUCUUGAAAUUUACAUUUAUAACCCCUCCUACAAUGGACUCUCCUGAGAGGAACAUGAUUUAGAACAGUUAAUACUCAAAAAUGCUAAACAUUUUUUAUGGUGUGGUUCCUAAAAGGAUUUGAGUUGUAAUUGCUGCUGAAGUUGACUGCCUCUAAAGAACUAAGUACAACUUUUAAACUAGCUAUGAUCUCAAACUCUGGGGUCUCUUAGAUUGUGUUAUUCUCCUUUUCUUUCCUUUUUUUCCCAUUUGCAACUGAGCCAUGGUCUAAAAAUCACAAUAGGAUCAGAAAGAACUACAUGAAAACUGAGUGUUACAAUCAUACAAAACUUGUAAAGGAACAUAUUUAAUAGUAUGGAUACAAAUUCAGUGUUGCACAUGUCAUAACUAUAAAUACUUCAUAUUUCUAACUAAAAUUAGUAUUUUAUACUUUGCUUCCAGGAGUAAAAGAAAGAACCACUAAACAUCAUUAAUUUUGUAGAACUAGUGGUAUUAGCAUGGGCUUUGGUGUCUAAUGCAUACUAUUUGAAUUAUGGCUCUGACAGUUCCAGCUAGGUGAUCUUAGGUAGAUUACUUAAUAUCUCAGCCUCAGUUUUGUUAUCUGGAAAAUGGAAUUUUUUAAAAAAAUUGCAGUAGAGUUGAUUGACAGUGUUGUGAUAAUUUCUGUGGUAAAGCAAAGUGAUUCAUGUAUAUAUAUAUACACACACACACAUUAUUUUUAUAUUCUUCAUUAUGACUUCAUCUCAGGAUAUUGAAUAUAGUUCCCUGUGCCAUACAGUAGGACCUCAUCGUAUAUCCAUUCUAUAUGUAAUAGUUUGCAUCUGCUAAUCCCAAACUCCCAAUCCAUCCCUUUAUCACCUCCCUCCCCCUUGGCAACCACAAGUCUGUUCUUUAUAUCUGUGAGUCCAUUUCUGUUUCAAAGAUAAGUCCAUUUGUGUCAUAUCUUAGAUUCCACAUAUAAGUGGUAUCAUAUUUGUCUUUCUUCCUGACUUAGUGUGAUCAUCUCUAAUUCCAUCGAUGUAGCUGCAAAUGGCAUUAUUACAUUCUUUUUAUGGCUGAGUAGUAUUCCCUUCUAUUGUAUACAUGUACCACAUCUUUAUUCAUCUGUUGAUGGACAUUUGGAUUAUUGAUACCUACUUCUUGGGGCUGAAGUUAGAGUAAAAUUGGGGUUAAAAAUUCCUAGCCCAGGGAGUUCCCAUCAUGGUGCACCGGAAACAAAUCUGACUAGAACUGUGAGGUUGCAAGUUCAAUCCCUGGCCUCACUCAGUGGGUUAAUGAUCCAGCAUUGCCAUAAGCAGUGGUGUAGGUUGCAGAUGCGGCUCAGAUCUGGCCUUUCUGUGGCUCUGGUGUAGGCCGGCAGCAACAGCUUCGAUUGGACCCCUGGCCUGGGAACCUCCAUAUUCUGCCAGUGCGGCCCUACAAAAAAAAAUUCCUAGCCCGUAUUAAUACACAUUCACUUCUUAUUCUCAUGUAUAGCCACCACUUACUCCCUUGCAGAAGUGCUCACAGAGCCCCAGGAGCAAACACAGUGCCUCAGGACAAUCAGACCUCUCUGUGGAAGUAAUGAAAAUGUUUAUUGCAUGUGACCAAGAAGAAUUCUUAGGGAUUAUUUUACUGAGGAGUGUGAAAGCAAAAUGCGGUACCCCAACAUAUGCUACUUUGCAAUAAAGGUUAUUUUGAGCUAAAGGCAAUUGAGAAGAAGCAGAUACAAGACAAGCCUUCUGCCCUUCCCCAACGUAUCUAGGACAUAAGUUUGCAAAGGUGUCCCUAUCUUCCCCUUUCUACCUGGGUAAAGACAGUAGUUAAUACUAGAAACAACACUAGGCAUUUACCAGCCCAGACACUAACAAUAACAAAUCUUGCUAAAACCAGCCCCUAUCUACCAUUAAUUCUUAUGGCUCCCAUCAAGUGCCAGAUGGUAAAGUCCUUAGACUCUUGCUUUGUAUUAUUAUUAUUAUUUUUUUUUUUUGUCUUUUUGCUAUUUCUUGGGCCGCUCCUGCGGCAUAUGGAGGCCAAUAAAUGGCAAAAAGACAAAAAAACAAACAAAAACCAAAAGAUAACACAAGAUAAGAUUACUGAGAACCACAUAAAUAAAAGGUGAGUGAUUUGACAGUAUGAAGAGUACUACUGGUUGGGACAUUCAUCUUGGGAAAAAUACAUGCACAUGUUGGACUCUGAUGGCGGGGGCUUUUGCAAAGGACGAAGUCAGGAAAGGACAUGGGAAGUGGGUGUAAAGAGCACAGCGAAGUUAAGAAGGUGGGUAAUUAUGGUAUCUGAUAGAUUUGGCAGGAGUGACAGGACUGAAGGGAAAGCUGGAAAGUUAGGUUUGUACUGGAGAGAGGGGUUUUCUCCUAAGGAUUUGGACUUGAUGGUGAGCAGAAGGAGAUGUCAAAGAGUUUCCUGGUGGUUUAUCAGGUUAAGGAUUCGGCAUCAUCACUACUGUGACAUGGGUUCUGUCCCCAGUCCAGGAACUUCCUUCCACGUGCUACAAACAAAGCCAAAAAAAUAGUGUUUGGGGCCAAGGACUACCAUGAUUAUCUCUGAAGUUCAAAUAUGUCAACAAACACUAUUUUACUUUUCAGAUUUUAUUGAGAAAAAUUCAAUCUUUUCCAUUCCUGAAACAGCUGUAUUUUCUCUAUCACAUUUAGACCUUACUGAUUUGAAACGAUCUGCAAUGUGUUCUUUAUUCUAUUUUAUUCUCUCACCGAAUAGCUAUUUAUUAUGUUUCUGUUGUUGUUAUUAACCUUGGCAGGGAGCAUUUAUCUAAAACACCUUCAGAAUAGAAAUUAUUCAGAUUAGCAAUAAUUUGAAUCCUGGAAUCUGGGUAAUGUAUUUGUGUUCAUUAAAAAAACAUUUCAUACCUUCAUUUUAACCAGCUCAUAUCCAUCAAUCAAACUCAAGAAUACUCACAUUCUGAAAUAUCUGAAAUUACAAAUGUUAAUAUUUAUGUAGAUUAUUCUGCUGUUAUUUUUCUCACGGUGAUCAUUCUGGCUGAGCCUACCCUAUAAAUAGGUGAUUGUCUUGUGUAAAAAUACCUAACCACAUUUAUGUUCUUUAAAGAUUGCUUGACCACUGUCUCAUGAAUAACAGUCCUUGAUAUAGAUACAAGCAAUAGAUUGGAGGCUUAGGGAAUUGAAUUUUCCUCAUAUAUCUAUUAGGAGAAAUAUAGUCACAGAUUCUCUUCAUGAUUAAAAUGUACCCUCAAGUAUACAAGGCUUGAAUGCUGUUUGGUGAAUAGGUUACUCUCAGCCAGCUACCCAGGGGUGACAAAGAAGGAACUACUAUUACAUAGUUGGUUUGGCAGACAAAGAGCCACCCUCUUUUAAAACUCUUUAAAGCCCUCUAGCCCAUAACCUGCAAGGGAUGCUGCAUUGCAACACAAUUUUCAGGAAUCCUUCCAAACUUCAGCCAUUCUAGCAAUGUGUCUAUCUCAUAGGAACAUCUUCCUUCUAGCCUUGUCUUCAGAAGGAAGAGCAAAGCCAGAGGGAUUUG